GACCCGUAGCAAACAGCUCAGUAACACGUGGCCAAACUACCCUAUGGACGAGGACACCCUCGGGAAACUGAGGCUAAUCCACGAUACGGCUCCCACGCUGGAAUGCGGGGAGCCGGAAACGCUCCGGCGCCAUAGGAUGUGGCUGCGGCCGAUUAGGUAGACGGUGGGGUAACGGCCCACCGUGCCUAUAAUCGGUACGGGAUGUGAGAGCAAAUAGCCCGGAGAUGGAUUCUGAGACAAGAAUCCAGGCCCUACGGGGCGCAGCAGGCGCGAAACCUUUACACUGCACGCCAGUGCGAUAAGGGGACCCCGAGUGCGAGGGCAUACAGUCCUCGCUUUUGUACACCGUAAGGAGGUGUACGAAUAAGGGCUGGGCAAGACCGGUGCCAGCCGCCGCGGUAAUACCGGCAGCCCGAGUGAUGGCCGCUGUUAUUGGGCCUAAAGCGUCCGUAGCCGGCCGAACAAGUCUGUCGGGAAAUCCAUCUGCCUAACAGAUGGGCGUCCGGCAGAAACUGUUCGGCUUGGGGCCGGAAGAUCCGAGGGGUACGUCCGGGGUAGGAGUGAAAUCCUGUAAUCCUGGACGGACCGCCGGUGGCGAAAGCGCCUCGGAAGGACGGACCCGACGGUGAGGGACGAAAGCUGGGGUCUCGAACCGGAUUAGAUACCCGGGUAGUCCCAGCCGUAAAC
RNAcentral lists this ribosomal RNA (687 nucleotides) under uncultured euryarchaeote. Its description in RNAcentral is "bacterial SSU rRNA". It matches the Rfam family "Archaeal small subunit ribosomal RNA", at positions 73 to 758 of the family's 1478-position model. Lineage: Archaea; Methanobacteriati; Methanobacteriota. The record is from RNAcentral.